RNAcentral lists this ribosomal RNA (433 nucleotides) under uncultured bacterium. Its description in RNAcentral is "partial 16S ribosomal RNA". It matches the Rfam family "Bacterial small subunit ribosomal RNA", at positions 29 to 507 of the family's 1533-position model. The record is from RNAcentral.
AGCGAACGCUGGCGGCAGGCUUAGCACAUGCAAGUCGAGCGGGCCCUUCGGGGUCAGCGGCAGACGGGUGAGUAACACGUGGGAACGUACCCUUUGGUUCGGAAUAACGCUGGGAAACUAGCGCUAAUACCGGAUACGCCCUUUUGGGGAAAGGCUUGCUGCCGAAGGAUCGGCCCGCGUCUGAUUAGCUAGUUGGUGGGGUAAUGGCCUACCAAGGCGACGAUCAGUAGCUGGUCUGAGAGGAUGAUCAGCCACACUGGGACUGAGACACGGCCCAGACUCCUACGGGAGGCAGCAGUGGGGAAUAUUGGACAAUGGGCGCAAGCCUGAUCCAGCCAUGCCGCGUGAGUGAUGAAGGCCUUAGGGUUGUAAAGCUCUUUUGUCCGGGACGAUAAUGACGGUACCGGAAGAAUAAGCCCCGGCUAACUUCGUG